RNAcentral lists this unclassified non-coding RNA (333 nucleotides) under uncultured Glomeraceae. RNAcentral's name for it is "sequence contains 18S rRNA gene". Lineage: Eukaryota; Fungi; Glomeromycota; Glomeromycetes; Glomerales; Glomeraceae. The record is from RNAcentral.
CCCAACUAUCCCUAUUAAUCAUUACGUCGAUCCUAGAAACCAACAAAAUAGAAUCAAACGUCCUAUUUCAUUAUUCCAUGCUAAUGUAUUCAAGCGUAUGCCUGCUUUAAACACUCUAAUUUUUUCAAAGUAACAGUCCUGAUUCCCCAAGACACCAAAUUAAUGACAUCAUGGUUCGUCAGAAAGGAGAAACCAAUGAUACCAGUACAUACCAAGGCACGACCGAUAUAUUGAUCCCGAAAUUCAAUUACGAGCUUUUUAACUGCAACAACUUUAAUAUACGCUAUUGGAGCUGGAAUUACUGCGGCUGCUGGCACCAGACUUGCCCUCCAA